Long non-coding RNA from Triplophysa rosa, 5457 nucleotides. RefSeq lists it as uncharacterized. The transcript has 4 exons. The record is from RefSeq and is a predicted model, not a curated record. Lineage: Eukaryota; Metazoa; Chordata; Actinopteri; Cypriniformes; Nemacheilidae.
AAGCUGCGCGAGCAGGAGGAGAGGACGCGCGUCAGCAGCACCAUCAUCAUCAUCAUAAUCGAUAUAAUCGAUGGUGGUUUGGAGAGUUUGCCACCUGUUGUAACUGAUUAAGGCGGCACGGGUCCGGAAAGGUUAGAGCGCGUUAUUUUAAGACAGAAAGGAGAAAAAAAAUCCAUUAUUUUGUGAGCCUAGGGAGCAAAGAAGACGUUGUGGAUUACAGACAUGCUGCAUGUUGCAAUGCAUCGGUACAUUUCAUGCGUUCCAUGUGCAACGCGCGAGGAUACUGAUGGUGAUUCCAUUAUGCACGGAGGGCAUCAAGAGAUGUGGUACUGCAGUCCUAGCAUCAGGAUCAUCACUUGGGCCCAAAGCCUCUUUCAGAGGGUUGGUUUCUGUCUUUGGUUAUCUAGCUGUAUGAGUUAUAACACUUUUCAUAAAGCUAGAUAACCGAAAGUAGAAAUAAUUCUCAAAAAACUGCAAACAGGGGUGACACCAGAGAGUACCUCAGAGCGAUACUUCCAUCCACAAAAUGGCACAAUAAAGCAACAGCACAACCAUCCGAGAGAGAGGAAGACUGCGAAAGAGCCGGAGAUGCUUAGAGGAACGUGGCAUCUUUCCUUCUCCGCCUUCCCAGAAACCGCCCAGUGCCACCUGGGUCCCCGUGGGGCUGGGGAGAACCCAUGCCAGUGCCAGCGGCAUGGCAAACCUCGUCAGCGUCCUGGCACCAACACGGACUGCUGAGGGAGGCCAUCUUGACAGAGAUCUUUCAGGAGAAGCUAAGAUGGCUGGGCUGACACAUGUGAGCAUGAAUCACCCCCUCACGCUCAAGGUCCUGGCAAAAACGGCAGGCAUUCCCCUGGCGAUCUGGCUUGAGGUUUUAUGAAACGCUGAGAGAGGGCGAGGCUGGUACGAGGGCCGCCGUGGGGCCAGGCCGGCAGCUGCAGCGCGCGUGCUUUUAAUGAACAGAACGUGGUGUCGGCCAUUAAUAUUCUGCCCAGCUCGCGGCCGGUCCCUCUCACUCAAUGGAGGCCCCCUCCUUUAUAAAGAGCUCCGCUUUCCCACCAUUGUCAGGGGCGCUGCUCCUGCAUCACCACCAGAGAGGGGGCAGGGUGGGAAACGGCGAUGCAGACCAGACACCACCAGAUGCCAAAGACACAAGACGGUUAUGCAGAUCGCAGGGCCUUUGUCAGGCAGAGUGUGUGUUUGUGUGUACAGGGGUGUGUGUAUGUUUACAGACGGAGGCUACAGGCCACCUGAUCGUCUUAAUGAGUCUGCGUGUAGUUAAUACGUGUCUGAGCGAGAUGCAGAUGUAAACGUGAAACGUGUCUCAGAAUGCACACGCUUUGUGAAAGGUUAUUUUCUGUUCAGGUCGUCUUGAAAGCGCCACGAUGUAUGUUUACGUAUUCAUCUCAUUUUAAAAAUAAGAAAAUAUAUACAGAAUACGGUUAAUGGGCAAAUAUGCUGUAAAUGGUGUGACAGCAAAAAUGUAGAAAAAAAUGAAGAUAAAUCUCUAUUAUUCUAUAUAUAUACCUAACUAUUUUGCACUGCAAUCUGAAAAGAUUUUCUACGAUUUUUCUUCAAAACCUGUCACAAAAUCAUCCAAUGCUUUGAAUAGAAAUGUUAAGUUCUGCAUCUACAGUACAGAACUACAGUUUUCUGAUGCAUUUAAUAGAUCGCUAACAUACACGGCUAUAAAGGUUAGCAAAUUACCUCACCACCACAGCGAUGAAGGUCAUAUGACGUCAGAUUAGAUUCAAGUAGACACGUGAUGUGGAACCGUGUUUAGUUUUACGUUCAUCAGACAGUUCUGAGCUUCUGUCAAAUACAGGUGGUAAAGAUUUUUUCUGUGCUUUUGGGUUUCUGUGUCUGAAAAUUGGGCGUCUGUGGAGAAGGCCAUCAAAAGAAUCGAGAAUUGAGGAGAGGGCAAUUAUGCCCUGUAGCUCAUUCUGGUUGGAUUUAGACUUCAUUUGCUUUAAUAUCCUUUAAAUAAGUUAAUUUGACCUAAUUAAAACACAGUAGGAUCAUAUUAUUAGGAAGGAAUUAAAGCAGGAUACGUUUCAGAAAUGUUACUGUCUAUCAGAGUUCAAAACUCGAGAUUACAGUAAGUCGCAAAACAGCUCCUGACUCGACUUGGUCUCAUAAACAAUUGUUUUUGAGACGUCUUGGACUUCCAUAUAUUGCAACGGUUUAACUAAUUCAAGAAAAGCGACACAAGAGAUGUAUGAAAAAAUCAUUGCUUCAACACGAUGGCAUCACCUUAGCACUUAGACAAUUCAUUGUGCACGUCAAAUAGUUCAAUUCAUACAUUUCAUACGUUCAUUUAAGAACAAAAUGAACAGAAUGUUAGAGUUCGGCAGAGUUCAUUGCAUUUAGUUUAAAAUCAGAUUUCAAGACUCAAAAGGAUAAAUUAAUAUUCCAGUUCUGUAAUCUAAUAAUUGAAGGUCUAUCUAUAGCAUCUGUUGAUGUUGUCAGUUACCAAAAGAAAAAAAUGGUCUUGUGCCUCAGUCUGUGAAAACAAACAAUGCGCUGAUGUGCAAUUAUGUCUUUAUAGAAGUCUACGGCGAGCAAGUGCAUUUCCAUACACAUUUUGUUUGUUUUUGCAAACUUAUUUACAAGUCAAAAUUAUAUUCAGUGGUGAAAGACAGCAUGCUGUCAAUAGAGCGUUAUCUGUUAACAGAAUCCAGGAAGAUUAAAUCAAGAUCAUGGCUGCUGUGUAUUUAGGUCAAGAGCCAGGAGCAAAAGUCUGUCGUCUUUACAUAUUUGUGAUUGUGUCCAGUUAAUCUGGGAUAAAGCUUUGCUCGACAUGAACUAAACUAAACUAAACUAAAUAAACUAAACUAAACCUUGAUGUUUAAGUGUUAAAGAAAAAAAGUAAUCGUGUAAAUUAAUUGUUCUUUUUUUAGGUGUUGAGAGUUUUAUCUGCACGUGAUGCGGUGUAACUUUUUUAAAAAAGGUUGUGAGAAAAUAAGUAUCUGUUAAAUCUGGCAUUUAACUUUGUCAAAUAUAUAACCGAUCCUUCAUGUGCCAUUCGGAGUCUUUAAUAACAUCCAAUGUAGGUCAAACUUAAUCUUGGUCUCCUAAUGGAACUUUAGCCAAGAAGUAAUCUACGACAAAGCCACGCUUUUAAAGACAUCUUAAGUCACAACGGAUAUUUCUCAAUCCGCACACGUCCUGGCAGGGUCCUGAAACUGACCAUCUACAGUCACAGAAACAAAAGCAGAGACAAAACAAGUACAACAAGCUGUUGAUCUUCUUACAACAACACGGCGUCUGACCUGAUUCUGUAUGGGUGUUUGGUGGGGGGAUAAUUCAGUUGUCCAGAGUCUUUAGGGACAGAGUCGAGCAAAGGCUCACGAUCUUUAGAAGUAUGUGGGUUUGUUUAUGAUAAAAUAAGCGUCAAUUAGUCGAGUGUUGAAAAGGAUGUUUAUAGUUUAUUUAUUAGGCUGCUCAUUAGCUGAUGCAAAGCAUCUGCAACCCUUUAGAAUUCUGAGUUUAAUUGAGCCUCUGUGGUGGAAAACAAGCCGAACCUGAUGAAGUUGUGGAUGAUGUAGGGAAAGAAAAGCAUGUUUGGGAGGCAGAAUGUGCUGCUGUGGCACAAGGGGGCACAUGUGAAAUAAAAACCCAUGGGCUGUGGAUAAAUCUUUGGAUAAAAGUGUCAGCCAAAUGCACGAAGGUCCUUAUGUGCAUCACUGUGUGAGAAAGUCAAGUUCAAGUUCACAGAUGUCUAGACACGGUCCGUUCCAUACCUCCUCUAUUCCCCUCUUUCUUCGCAUUCGGCGAGGGGGGCUAUUGCCCUUUGACCUGGGAGCAAGUUGCUAUGGAACGGAGGCGAGAGGGCUCAGAAAUGUGCCUGUGAAAGACGGUGCUGUCAGGACUGUCUGAUGAUGUGCCCCCUCCCCGCCUCCGACCGCAGCUGGGCACGGUCCCGGAGCCUGGGAAUCUUCCAGCUCCGGAUUCAUCAGACAUCUCCGCGCCAGCUCAGACCUACUCCACCCCCCACCGAGACGUGCCCCCACCCCAUCACUCUAGUCUAGCCGUACCCGCACCCCACCAUCUGCGGUCUCACCGCAAGCCCAAGUUCAAAUCUAGAAUGCCUGAAUGCACCUGGCCAUCAUAAGCAUGAUGUACGUUAUCGGCUUUGCUUGUAAUUGUGACCUAAUGCAAGUGUGUGGUGUAUCACGAGCGUGGUUACAGUCGAGUUAUUGCACUGGAGGUAUAAAUGAGAAUGUCCAUAUGGAUCUCUGCCAAGUGCAACCGACGUUGGUUGGCAGUCUUGUAAUUGGUUGCCUGCGCUUUGGCACCGAAGGUGUUUGUUGGAGACGGAAACAGAAUUACCGUGUGUAAGAAUGUGUGUGUGAGAAAUCGAGGGUGCGUAUGCGUGCGAUUGGCGGGCGGGAGGAGGCUACAAUAAAAGGCUUCAUUUACAUAAGCUGCAUGGAGCCCGAAGAGGGUGUUCAGAGGAAAACAACAAAAAGAUAAAGCACAAAUCCUACGUUGUGCAGACAGAAAGAGAAAGAGCGGGUUUGCGUAGGGGAGAGGGUGGAAAUUGCCGGAGAAAGACAUGAAGCUGUGGCGCUGAAUAGAGGCAGGAACCUCCACGCAUAAUAUUUAAAACUGUGACAGAGCUGUAACACUGUUUACAAAGGCCCAUUGAAGAAGAGAGAAAGAGAUUGAUUACGGAUCAUUUAUUUCGCUUUUGAUGAGUGCGAAACUCAUGGAAAUAUUAAAAUGAUAUCAUCAUCGCUCUGCGGCCUCUGUAACUCUCUGUGUGAAGCUGUAAUGAAUUGUGUCAUGAGAGGAAGACAAUGACAGUGUUUUACUUUGAUAAUUUGCCUAAUUUACUCAUAAUGUCCACACAGUUUAAAAAAAGUCACCCACUCUUUGGGAAAGCAGCUGUUGCAGAUGAACCUCGUGCUAAAGUGCUGAUGUGUUUGUCUUUUACAGAAUGGAAAGUGGACUGCACUGGGAUAUCCUCGUGGGAUGAAAUGAAUGAAAAUCAACUGUAAUUAGGCCUGGAGGAACAAAGGAAAAAGCCCAUGCACCUGAAAGUUUGAGAGGCAUAUAAAACCAUGUUGGUGAUGGUGUGUGUAUGUGAGUGUGUGUGUGAGAGAGAGAGAGAGAGAGAGAGAGAGAGAGAGAGAGAGAGAGAGAGAGAGAGAGAGAGAGAGAGAGAGAGAGAGAGGAGAACAGUAUUUUUUCUUGAAAACAAAAAAUUGAAUUGUAUUGUUUUUCUGUUUAGAUGAACCAUGUUGUUUUAAUAUUCAAACUGCUGUACACUUAGGCCUACAUAUAGAAUGUAAUGUAAUGUGUGUUAACUGAUUUUACUAGUGUUUUGUUACCAUUUCAUUUGUGCAUUAUUUUAUAUCCAAAUGCCAUGUUUAUUUUAGUUAUUCUUUCCUCCCCUUUGUGAUCGUUUUUAUAUUGUACAUGCUGUGCUUGUAAAUAAAAAUAUAUAUUAUA